RNAcentral lists this ribosomal RNA (279 nucleotides) under uncultured bacterium. RNAcentral's name for it is "partial 16S ribosomal RNA". It matches the Rfam family "Bacterial small subunit ribosomal RNA", at positions 505 to 784 of the family's 1533-position model. The record is from RNAcentral.
GUGCAGCCGCCGCGGUAAUACGGAGGGGGUUAGCGUUGUUCGGAAUUACUGGGCGUAAAGCGCACGUAGGCGGAUUAGAAAGUAUGGGGUGAAAUCCCGGGGCUCAACCCCGGAACUGCCUCAUAAACUCCUAGUCUAGAGAUCGAGAGAGGUGAGUGGAAUUCCAAGUGUAGAGGUGAAAUUCGUAGAUAUUUGGAGGAACACCAGUGGCGAAGGCGGCUCACUGGCUCGAUACUGACGCUGAGGGACGAAAGCGUGGGUAGCGAACAGGAUUAGAUA